UACAGAGGGUGCGAGCGUUGUCCGGAAUCACUGGGCGUAAAGGGCGCGUAGGUGGCGACCCAAGUCGAUGGUGAAAGCUCGCCGCUCAACGGCGAGUCGGCCACCGAUACUGGGUUGCUCGAGCACUGUAGAGGCUAAUGGAAUUCCGGGUGUAGCGGUGGAAUGCGUAGAGAUCCGGAAGAACACCGGUGGCGAAGGCGGUUAGCUGGGCAGUUGCUGACACUGGGGCGCGACAGCGUGGGGAGCAAACAGG
RNAcentral lists this ribosomal RNA (253 nucleotides) under uncultured bacterium. RNAcentral describes it as "partial 16S ribosomal RNA". It matches the Rfam family "Bacterial small subunit ribosomal RNA", at positions 524 to 776 of the family's 1533-position model. The record is from RNAcentral.